UGCUGUCACUCCAGCCCUGACUGCGACAUCUGUCACCCCAUUGUUCGCCAGGGUUGAUUCGGCUGAUCUGGCUGGCUAGGCGGGUGUCCCCUUCCUCCCUCACCUCUCCAUGUGCGUCCCUCCUGAAGCUGCGCGCUCGGUUGAAGAGGACGGCCUUUCCCGAGUAGAGACGGACCGGUCUUCGGUCGAGGGUAUACGAGUAGCAGAGCUCCCCUGCUAAAACCUCCAAACAAGCUCUCAAUAAAGGAAAAUAUUUUUAAGAGUAAGAGAACUAAUAUUAAUGCUUUUAAUGAAUAAAAUUAGAUGCGCAAAAUACUUUUCUGUAUUUUAGU
RNAcentral lists this small nuclear RNA (332 nucleotides) under Sorex araneus (European shrew). Its description in RNAcentral is "7SK RNA (ENSSARG00000018196.1)". It matches the Rfam family "7SK RNA". From Rfam's summary of the family: 7SK was discovered as an abundant small nuclear RNA in the mid-70s but a possible function has only recently been suggested. Two independent studies have found that 7SK RNA binds the CDK9/cyclin T complex (known as elongation factor P-TEFb). Lineage: Eukaryota; Metazoa; Chordata; Mammalia; Eulipotyphla; Soricidae. The record is from RNAcentral.